This 201-nucleotide unclassified non-coding RNA is filed under the name uncultured Trechispora. Its description in RNAcentral is "sequence contains ITS2". Lineage: Eukaryota; Fungi; Basidiomycota; Agaricomycetes; Polyporales; Polyporaceae. The record is from RNAcentral.
ACUCAUCAACCCCCAUCGUUUUGUGCGGUGGAGGGUUGGAUCCUGGGGGCUUGCUGCCGAGAGGUGGCUCCCCUCAAAUGUGUCGGUUGGGCCUGUGGGUCGGACUCGAUUGGGCGUUGUACCAUCCUCGCUCUAACGAGAUGUUCCCCUUCUGUGCCCUUCCUCGACCUGCCGUUCGAGUGGCGGUCAACUAACUUUGAA